This 1471-nucleotide ribosomal RNA is filed under the name Enterococcus hirae. RNAcentral's name for it is "bacterial SSU rRNA". It matches the Rfam family "Bacterial small subunit ribosomal RNA". Lineage: Bacteria; Bacillati; Bacillota; Bacilli; Lactobacillales; Enterococcaceae. The record is from RNAcentral.
GAACAAGGGGGAACCAGGCCAAAAACAUGCAAGUCGAACGCUUCUUUUUCCACCGGAGCUUGCUCCACCGGAAAAAGAGGAGUGGCGAACGGGUGAGUAACACGUGGGUAACCUGCCCAUCAGAAGGGGAUAACACUUGGAAACAGGUGCUAAUACCGUAUAACAAUCGAAACCGCAUGGUUUUGAUUUGAAAGGCGCUUUCGGGUGUCGCUGAUGGAUGGACCCGCGGUGCAUUAGCUAGUUGGUGAGGUAACGGCUCACCAAGGCGACGAUGCAUAGCCGACCUGAGAGGGUGAUCGGCCACAUUGGGACUGAGACACGGCCCAAACUCCUACGGGAGGCAGCAGUAGGGAAUCUUCGGCAAUGGACGAAAGUCUGACCGAGCAACGCCGCGUGAGUGAAGAAGGUUUUCGGAUCGUAAAACUCUGUUGUUAGAGAAGAACAAGGAUGAGAGUAACUGUUCAUCCCUUGACGGUAUCUAACCAGAAAGCCACGGCUAACUACGUGCCAGCAGCCGCGGUAAUACGUAGGUGGCAAGCGUUGUCCGGAUUUAUUGGGCGUAAAGCGAGCGCAGGCGGUUUCUUAAGUCUGAUGUGAAAGCCCCCGGCUCAACCGGGGAGGGUCAUUGGAAACUGGGAGACUUGAGUGCAGAAGAGGAGAGUGGAAUUCCAUGUGUAGCGGUGAAAUGCGUAGAUAUAUGGAGGAACACCAGUGGCGAAGGCGGCUCUCUGGUCUGUAACUGACGCUGAGGCUCGAAAGCGUGGGGAGCAAACAGGAUUAGAUACCCUGGUAGUCCACGCCGUAAACGAUGAGUGCUAAGUGUUGGAGGGUUUCCGCCCUUCAGUGCUGCAGCUAACGCAUUAAGCACUCCGCCUGGGGAGUACGACCGCAAGGUUGAAACUCAAAGGAAUUGACGGGGGCCCGCACAAGCGGUGGAGCAUGUGGUUUAAUUCGAAGCAACGCGAAGAACCUUACCAGGUCUUGACAUCCUUUGACCACUCUAGAGAUAGAGCUUCCCCUUCGGGGGCAAAGUGACAGGUGGUGCAUGGUUGUCGUCAGCUCGUGUCGUGAGAUGUUGGGUUAAGUCCCGCAACGAGCGCAACCCUUAUUGUUAGUUGCCAUCAUUUAGUUGGGCACUCUAGCAAGACUGCCGGUGACAAACCGGAGGAAGGUGGGGAUGACGUCAAAUCAUCAUGCCCCUUAUGACCUGGGCUACACACGUGCUACAAUGGGAAGUACAACGAGUCGCAAAGUCGCGAGGCUAAGCUAAUCUCUUAAAGCUUCUCUCAGUUCGGAUUGUAGGCUGCAACUCGCCUACAUGAAGCCGGAAUCGCUAGUAAUCGCGGAUCAGCACGCCGCGGUGAAUACGUUCCCGGGCCUUGUACACACCGCCCGUCACACCACGAGAGUUUGUAACACCCGAAGUCGGUGAGGUAACCUUUUGGAGCCAGCCGCCUAAGGUGUAAAGGGG